CUGCUAUCAUUUCUACAAUACUCUGUUGGUUACGUGGCCAGCCCUGUUGGAUACAAGGGCCUGUACAAGGCAUGGAUAUCUGGACGUGGGGAUGGUGAAGGAGCCUUGGAGCCUGCUUACUUUUCUCCAUACAUCAAGAGCUGUCAAAUCAAACUCCAACAGCAUUGUCUCCUAAGUCUGCCAGCUGGAAUUUACCUGUUAAGUGCAGCUAAAGGUGAAGUACCCGUGGGACGCAGGGUAGCAAAUAGCCCUGCUAGCAGAGAGCAAGCAGCUGUCACCAAGGAACUAAAGUGAGAAAAAUGCAAAGCAUGCAGCAGCAGUCCUCCAAAUGUGGCCCUGAGGGUUCCAAGGUCAUUUCAGUGGGUCUUUUAUGACAGAAAGAGAGAGGAUGCUAGUUAGCCAGUUAUGCUUAAGUGAGUCUGAUGAAGCAAUAAAAAAUUACUAAGUGACCCU
This 453-nucleotide long non-coding RNA is filed under the name Chinchilla lanigera (long-tailed chinchilla). RNAcentral describes it as "lncRNA (ENSCLAG00000023599.1)". The record is from RNAcentral. Lineage: Eukaryota; Metazoa; Chordata; Mammalia; Rodentia; Chinchillidae.